Molecule: ribosomal RNA, 403 nt
Filed under: unidentified
Description: Troglohyphantes aff. cantabricus CRBA002628 partial large subunit ribosomal RNA
Rfam family: Bacterial large subunit ribosomal RNA
Source: RNAcentral
UAAUAUAAAUAGCCGCAGAAUAUUAACUGUGCUAAGGUAGCAUAAUCAUUUACCUUUUAAUUAAAGGCCUGUAUGAACGAUCUAACAUUUAAAUUACUUUUUUUCUAACACAAACUAAACUUAAACUAAACAUAAAAAUGUUUUUAUAAAAUAAAAAGACGACCAGACCCUAUUGAACUUUACUAAAGUUAAGCUGGGGAAGCUAAUUAAAAACAAUUUUAAUUUUUAAUCUUUUAAAAAUUUCUAGGGUACCUAAUAUAAACAAGUUACCAUAGGGAUAACAGCGUAAUAAUUCUUUAAAGCUCUUAUUAAAAGAAAAGUUUACGACCUCGAUGUUGAAUUAGAAUUACUUUAAACCGCAAUAGUCUUAACAGUAGGUCUGUUCGACCUUUAAAUUUCUACA